This 253-nucleotide ribosomal RNA is filed under the name uncultured bacterium. RNAcentral describes it as "partial 16S ribosomal RNA". It matches the Rfam family "Bacterial small subunit ribosomal RNA", at positions 524 to 776 of the family's 1533-position model. The record is from RNAcentral.
UACGGUGGGUGCAAGCGUUAUCCGGAUUCACUGGGUUUAAAGGGUGCGUAGGCGGAUAGGUAAGUCCGUGGUGAAAUCCUGCAGCUUAACUGCAGAACUGCCGUGGAUACUAUCUAUCUUGAAUAUCGUGGAGGUUAGCGGAAUAUGCCAUGUAGCGGUGAAAUGCUUAGAUAUGACAUAGAACACCUAUUGCGAAGGCAGCUAACUACGCGGUAAUUGACGCUGAGGCACGAAAGCGUGGGGAUCAAACAGG